Bubalus bubalis (water buffalo) is the source of this 386-nucleotide long non-coding RNA. RefSeq lists it as uncharacterized. The transcript is spliced from 3 exons. The record is from RefSeq and is a predicted model, not a curated record. NCBI's taxonomy places the organism in Eukaryota, Metazoa, Chordata, Mammalia, Artiodactyla, Bovidae.
GCCUCUCCCGCUCCCUCCCAGUAAUUGCUCCUGCCCUUCCUAGAAUCAGCCGAGGGUGCUGGGCAGCAUUUCAGCAGCCCUUAAGAUGCAGUGGGUCCCUGGGAGCCAGGUGCAGGCGGAAGGAGGCUUCAGAGAGAGGAACCCACAUCCAGUAUGAUGCUCAGCUCCUGUGUCAGACUGUGAGCCCCUCGAGGCAACUCUGUGACCCCUGUGCCCAGAACUAAGGGGGAGAGAAGCACCAAGCAGGUUUGCCAGAUGAAGCUCCGAGAUAAAUGGCGCGGCGGAAGGAGCCUCGGCCCCGGUGGGGCUCACCGCCUCCCCUCUCUGUCAGCUGUCUCGGGCAGGCCUGCGAGACAGAUGGCUGCAGCCGAGCCCCGCGGAGGGCC